This 480-nucleotide ribosomal RNA is filed under the name uncultured bacterium. RNAcentral describes it as "partial 16S ribosomal RNA". It matches the Rfam family "Bacterial small subunit ribosomal RNA", at positions 28 to 507 of the family's 1533-position model. The record is from RNAcentral.
GACGAACGCUGGCGGCGUGCUUAACACAUGCAAGUCGAACGAUGAAGAAAAGAAUCGAAGCUUCGGCAGAAAUUCAUUUCGGAUUAGUGGCAGACGGGUUAGUAACGCGUGAGCAACCUACCUCUUACAAAGGGAUAGCCUCGGGAAACCGGGAUUAAUACCAUAUAACAUUGUGACGAAGCAUUUCGAUGCAAUCAAAGCUACGGCGGUAAGAGAUGGGCUCGCGUCCCAUUAACCGGAUGGUGAGGUAACGGCUCACCAUAGUGACGAUGGGUAACCGGGAUGAGAGGGUGAACGGUCACACUGGAACUGAGAAGCGGUCGAGACUCCUACGGGAGGCAGCAGUGGGGAAUAUAGCACAAUGGAGGGAACUAUGAUGCAGCGACGACGCGUGAGUGAUGAAGGAAUUCGUUACGUAAAACUCUGUUCUAUGGGAAGAAAAGGACGGUACCAAAGGAGAAAGCUCCGGCUAAAUACGUG